This 253-nucleotide ribosomal RNA is filed under the name uncultured bacterium. RNAcentral's name for it is "partial 16S ribosomal RNA". It matches the Rfam family "Bacterial small subunit ribosomal RNA", at positions 524 to 776 of the family's 1533-position model. The record is from RNAcentral.
UACGUAGGUGACAAGCGUUGUCCGGAAUUAUUGGGCGUAAAGCGCGCGCAGGCGGUCCUUUAAGUCUGAUGUGAAAGCCCACGGCUCAACCGUGGAGGGUCAUUGGAAACUGGGGGACUUGAGUACAGAAGAGAAGAGUGGAAUUCCACGUGUAGCGGUGAAAUGCGUAGAGAUGUGGAGGAACACCAGUGGCGAAGGCGACUCUUUGGUCUGUAACUGACGCUGAGGCGCGAAAGCGUGGGGAGCAAACAGG